This 347-nucleotide ribosomal RNA is filed under the name uncultured Sphingomonas sp. RNAcentral's name for it is "bacterial SSU rRNA". It matches the Rfam family "Bacterial small subunit ribosomal RNA", at positions 93 to 457 of the family's 1533-position model. The record is from RNAcentral. Lineage: Bacteria; Pseudomonadati; Pseudomonadota; Alphaproteobacteria; Sphingomonadales; Sphingomonadaceae.
UAGUGGCGCACGGGUGCGUAACGCGUGGGAAUCUGCCCUUGGGUUCGGAAUAACAGCUGGAAACGGCUGCUAAUACCGGAUGAUGACGUAAGUCCAAAGAUUUAUCGCCCAGGGAUGAGCCCGCGUAGGAUUAGCUAGUUGGUGGGGUAAAGGCUUACCAAGGCGACRAUCCUUAGCUGGUCUGAGAGGAUGAUCASCCACACUGGGACUGARACACGGCCCARACUCCUACGGGAGGCAGCAGUGGGGAAUAUUGGACAAUGGGGGMAACCCUGAUCCAGCAAUGCCGCGUGAGUGAUGAAGGCCUUAGGGUUGUAAAGCUCUUUUACCCGGGAUGAUAAUGACAG